Molecule: long non-coding RNA, 2020 nt
Organism: Homo sapiens (human)
Lineage: Eukaryota; Metazoa; Chordata; Mammalia; Primates; Hominidae
Exons: 2
Source: RefSeq, a predicted model, not a curated record
UGGGUGGCAUUAACAACAGACAUUUAUUUUCUCACUGUUCUGGAAGCUGGAAUUAUGAGAUCAAGGUGCCAGAAGAUUCAGUUUUUGAUGAGGGCUCCCUCCUUGGCUUGAAAACGGCUACCUUCUCACUGUGUCCCGACGUGGUGGAGGUUGAGAGUGAGGUCUCUGGGGUCUUUUCUUAUAGGGGUACUGAUCCCCUCAUAAAGGCCCCACCCUUAUGACCUAAUCACCUCCAAAGGCCCCACCUCCAAAUACCAUCACACUGGGGGUUAGGGCUUCAACAUAGGAAUUUUGGGAGACAUGGUUCAUUUCAUAGCAUAUGGGAAAGGCUGAGGGAAGAGCAGGUUUAGGAGAUGAGUACAAGAGCUCAGGGCCUCUGAUCUGGACAUGGGCUGAACGAGGCAUGGGAGAGUCUGUGUCACUGCUGAGCCUUAGCUUGAACAGUAAUAAAGAGGCCAAGGACUGCUGGGGUAAAUGAGAAAUGAAAUAGGUAACGUGGUUCUCCAGAUACCCAGAGCCAGAAAAUGCUGAAUCAGAAACACAAAAUGUCAGGAAAGUGAGAGUAGGAGUGCGCCUGAGUGAGCCUCAAGAAACCCCUAGCAGGUGAGGUGGAAGGAACCCCAUCACUGGGAUGAGGAGGGGAGAUCAGGGAAGACUCCCCUUAGCCUGAGGAUGGCUCUGAGCAAACACGUUGGAGCCUGGAUAAUACCCCACUGAACACUGCAACUAUCGGUUAAAGGAGCCAUUGGAGUAAGAAUUGAUAGGUCAGCGGGAGCAAAACUCAACCAUUCCUGAUUAAUUAGUAUUACCGUGGCCUAUGUAUUUCUCUAGUUCAGAUCUUCAUCAGAUCACACUCCAGCUAUGACAGUGAUUGUCCAAGCUCCAUUCCCUGUCUCUCCUCCCAGACUAGGACAUCUUCUUCUUCUGGGUUCCCACAUCAUUCUAGGUUCCAGUGGCACUUUUCUUACUUGAUGCAAGGAUGUGGGAUUUGGGAACAUGGUUUCAUCUCUCCAACCACAAUACCAGCAACUUUCAGGCAACUGUCUGAUGCCACACAGCAAAUCUGCCCCAGGGCAGAGGGGGCAGUAGGUAGGCAGUAACUGGGAGCACAGGCAGAGAGGCUGGCAUGAAGAAACCUGCCCAUGGGAAGCAGGGCCAAUGCCACCUAGGCUGGGUUCAAGGAUGUGGCCAAAAAAGCAGAACUUCCGACAAACUUGGAAAACUAGUCAGGUUACUGAAACAGGAACUUAAGCUUCUCAGCAAAUUAGACGUAACAUAUAAACUGGAAAAAUCAGUGAACUUGAAGAUAGAGCAACAGAAAUGAUCUAAAGAAAUAUAAAGAGAGAAAAGAAGGCUGGGGGACAGAACAGAGCACCCAAGCAUUGUGAGACAACAUAAAAUGGUCUAACAUAUGUAUAGUUGGGAUCUCAUUAAGAAAAGAGAGCAGAGUAGAACUAUUUGAAGAGAUAAUGACCAAGAACUUGUUAAAGAAAGGCAACAUACCACAAGUCCAAGAUACUCAGAGAACCUUAAUCAGAAUUUUUAAAAAAAUCCACCUAGAUGUGUCAUGAUCAAACUGCUAAAAACCAAAGAUAAAUUCUGAAGACAACCAAGGAAAACAGAAUGCCGGUGUCCCCCUCACCAAAGCAUGUCUAAAUGCUUGUGAAGAAAGUAUGUUCUCCUGGGACAGAGUGAAGGAGGGUAUGUGGGGAACACAUGUGUAAGCCCACCCCAACAUUAUUAUGCCUCUCCAGGUAUUAAGAUUCCUUGCUUUAUAUCAAGGAACUUCUGUCACCUUAGCUUUAUUUAGUAUAGGAUGCCAUUCAGUUCAGGUUUCAUUUCAGAUAACCCACUGAGUGAACAGAACCAUACCCAGAUGAUCCAGCCAGUACUUUGGAUCCAGAAUCCAUAUUGAUCAAUAUGGCCCAAUUGAAAAUGAUCUUCUUUCCUCCGUGAUCAGCACCUUACUAUACAUUUCUCAGAUUUCUGCCAAUAAAUAUUAAAAAACAAAUGGCACCUA